RNAcentral lists this transfer RNA (43 nucleotides) under Thaumamermis cosgrovei. RNAcentral's name for it is "tRNA-Trp". The record is from RNAcentral. Lineage: Eukaryota; Metazoa; Nematoda; Enoplea; Mermithida; Mermithidae.
GUUAAAUUAGACCAACGUUUUUCAAAAACGGAAGUUUUAAAUA